GAUGAAGAACGCAGCGAAAUGCGAUAAGUAAUGUGAAUUGCAGAAUUCAGUGAAUCAUCGAAUCUUUGAACGCACAUUGCGCCCCCUGGUAUUCCGGGGGGCAUGCCUGUCCGAGCGUCAUUACAACCCUCAAGCUCAGCUUGGUGUUGGGCCCCGCCGCCCCGGCGGGCCCUAAAGUCAGUGGCGGUGCCGUCCGGCUCCGAGCGUAGUAAUUCUUCUCGCUCUGGAGGUCCGGUCGUGUGCUCGCCAGCAACCCCCAAUUUUUUUCAGGUUGACCUCGGAUCAGGUAGGGAUACCCGCUGAACUUAAGCAUAUCGAUAAGCGGAGGA
This 329-nucleotide unclassified non-coding RNA is filed under the name soil metagenome. Its description in RNAcentral is "partial contains 5.8S ribosomal RNA, internal transcribed spacer 2, and large subunit ribosomal RNA". The stretch from base 1 to 120 matches the Rfam family "5.8S ribosomal RNA", at positions 35 to 154 of the family's 154-position model. The record is from RNAcentral.